This 484-nucleotide ribosomal RNA is filed under the name uncultured bacterium. RNAcentral's name for it is "partial 16S ribosomal RNA". It matches the Rfam family "Bacterial small subunit ribosomal RNA", at positions 30 to 507 of the family's 1533-position model. The record is from RNAcentral.
AUUGAACGCUGGCGGCAUGCUUUACACAUGCAAGUCGAACGGCAGCACGGGGCCAGCUCUGGUAGUGAGUGGCGAACGGGUGAGUAAUACAUCGGAACCUGCCCGGUCGUGGGGGAUAACGUAGCGAAAGUUACGCUAAUACCGCAUACGAUCUGAGGAUGAAAGCGGGGGACCUUCGGACCUCGCGCUAUCGGAGCAGCCUAUGUCAGAUUAGGUAGUUGGUGGGGUAAAGGCCUACCAAGCCGACGAUCUGUAGCUGGUCUGAGAGGACGACCAGCCACACUGGGACUGAGACACGGCCCAGACUCCUACGGGAGGCAGCAGUGGGGAAUGUUGGACAAUGGGCGCAAGCCUGAUCCAGCCAUUCCGCGUGCAGGAAGAAGGCCUUCGGGUUGUAAACUGCUUUUGUACGGAACGAAAAGGAUCUAGCUAAUACCUGGGGCUCAUGACGGUACCGUAAGAAUAAGCACCGGCUAACUACGUG